ACGAACGCUGGCGGCGUGCUUAAAACAUGCAAGUCGAACGGUGAAGGAAGCUUGCUUCCGGAUCAGUGGCGUACGGGUGAGUAACACGUGAGCAACCUGCCGAAUUGUGGGGGAUACCUCCUCGAAAGGGGAGUUAAUACCGCAUAGGACGUUUUUCGGACCUCCGAGAGACGGGAAAGCCGCAAGGCGCAGUUUGAGGGGCUCGCGGCCUAUCAGCUAGUUGGUGUGGUAACGGCGCACCAAGGCGACGACGGGUAGCCGGCCUGAGAGGGUGAUCGGCCACACUGGGACUGAGACACGGCCCAGACUCCUACGGGGGGCAGCAGUUGGGAAUCUUGCGCAAUGGGGGCAACCCUGACGCAGCGACGCCGCGUGCGGGAUGACGGUCUUCGGAUUGUAAACCGCUUUUCCCAGGGACGACGAUGACGGUACCUGGGGAAGAAGCCCCGGCUAACUCCGU
This 460-nucleotide ribosomal RNA is filed under the name uncultured bacterium. RNAcentral's name for it is "bacterial SSU rRNA". It matches the Rfam family "Bacterial small subunit ribosomal RNA", at positions 29 to 506 of the family's 1533-position model. The record is from RNAcentral.